GAGUUUGAUCGUGGCUCAGGACGAACGCUGGCGGCGUGCUUAACACAUGCAAGUCGAACGAGAAUCUACUGAAAGAGUUUUCGGACAAUGGAAGUAGAGGAAAGUGGCGGACGGGUGAGUAACGCGUGAGGAACCUGCCUUGAAGAGGGGACAACAGUUGGAAACGACUGCUAAUACCGCAUGAUGCAUAAGGGUCGCAUGAUUCUUAUGCCAAAGAUUUAUCGCUUCAAGAUGGCCUCGCGUCUGAUUAGCUAGUUGGCGGGGUAACGGCCCACCAAGGCGACGAUCAGUAGCCGGACUGAGAGGUUGAACGGCCACAUUGGGACUGAGAUACGGCCCAGACUCCUACGGGAGGCAGCAGUGGGGAAUAUUGGGCAAUGGGCGCAAGCCUGACCCAGCAACGCCGCGUGAAGGAAGAAGGCUUUCGGUAUGUAAACUUCUAUCAGCAGGGAAGAAAAUGACGGUACCUGACUAAGAAGCCCGGCUAACUACGUGCCAGCAG
This 502-nucleotide ribosomal RNA is filed under the name uncultured microorganism. RNAcentral's name for it is "bacterial SSU rRNA". It matches the Rfam family "Bacterial small subunit ribosomal RNA", at positions 9 to 514 of the family's 1533-position model. The record is from RNAcentral.